GUUUUGGUUGGCUUGUUUACAUCCAGCCAGAUACCACAGCUGAGUAUCCUCUAAGACUGCAGGUCUUGAACUGGGAAAAAGGAGAGAUAAAUCAGCUUCUGGAUUAUAUCCCUUCCACUGUAGUUUGUAACUUCAAACACAAUGAGCAGUGGAGGUAGCUUAGGGGGAAGUUUAGAGGUUUCACAGUGGCUUGCAGAAGGACUCCACAGGAAGGGUCCAGUACAUGAAGAACUGUCUACUCCCUUCUUCGAAGGAACGAACUUACUAAAAAACAGGCCCACUAGGUACCACUGUCAUGUCACUAACGCAUCAUAAUCAAGUGCCAAAGGUCAGAUGAAAAUCCAACUAAGUGCGCCAAUGUGUAUGCUGUAGUUUUUAUAUUUAUUUUAUCCAAAUAAAUAUUCAUAGGAGUCUAAUCCCCUCCCAAAAUAACAUCAUUGCCCACUUGUCCCCAUGGCCACUCUUUAGUCAUGCAGAUGGAGGUUCUUACAGGCCCUACUAGUGCCAUUAUUGAGGCAUCAGGCAUAAGCCUGCAUUUUAUUAAUGUUUGAUCAGGGCUUGUAUAUUAAAGAGGGCUUAGAUUUUUAAAAGUUUCAUGCCAGGCAAGAAGGCUAGCUGCUUAAGAAAACACUGACAGUGUUUUCUUCCUAGACAAGGGGCCCCUUGAUUGAUAGCAGAAAACAAUUCUCAAAGUCAUAAAAGCUGAAAUUACAGACUGAGUAAGGACACUGACCCUAUAUGUUAUAGAAGAUAAAAAAGGCAGAGAUAAACAUAAUUAAUAGUUGGUAAAUAGUAAAAUAAUGCCAAUGUGCCUCCCAGUAAAAUGAGCCAGAUCUUCUUUCUAAGGUUAAAAGGCCAAGACCAAAUGGAGAAGCAUCUGGCUGGCAGAAAGAGAGGCUUUUUGGGAAGUCUUUUUAAAGCUGUUUUCUUUCUUAAACUGAGAGAGUUUGAGGAAGAGCUAAUGGAAACAAAGCAGCUGGCUGAAGGGGGGGGGAUGUAAACUAAAGAGGUUUCUUCUGAAACUGUUUUAAACUGAGUUCCCUUUUCUACUUCUACUUUACAAAGGCCUUAUUCCUUUUAAAAGGCUACCUAUGUUAUGUAUUGUCUUAAAUGUAAUUAUGCAAAGGAUUUAACAAAUGCUAGAAGAGUUGUAUUUAUCUUGAAAUUAAGUCAGCCACCAGCCCAGCCCUCUUGCCAGACAAGAAGACGCCAUCCGGGCAGUCUUGAUAUAUAGCUGUCAGACAUUUGUUUAGAAACCUUCAAAUGAAGUAGAUCUUUCAAUGUUGAUGUGAAACUCAAGAUCCUUGACAUAUGUUUAAGAUAAAAAUUUAAGAUUAACCAUUUGUUUUAGAAGGCAAUAGGGCAAGGAGGGCAAGAGGUGAGCUGGUAAUUAAGAUUCCUUGUUGAGACACAUGUAAGAUAUAUUACUACUUAUUUGUCAUUUAUAGAUGUAACAAUAUAUAGCUCUUUGUCCUCCAUAUAAGGACAGGAGGAUAUGGGUGUAUCUUUUUGUGAUUGGUUCUAGCAAUCAGCCAAUAGGAAAUCCAACCAGGCUGAUUGGACAGAGGCAGCCCAAGGAGGAGCAAAGGGGGCUGGAUUAAGGGAAUAUAAGUGCUGGCCAUAAUGGCAGGAGGCCAGGCCAGAGCUUGGUAACCAUAUACCACUGUGCCUCUCAUUUAUUUGUCUGACAAAUAAAUUAUUAUUUUAAUUUCUAUAUUGCUGCGUUGAAUAUUUCAUUCCAGCUAAGCGUUAACCACAAGCAGGGUGCUACAUUAUCUUAACCAAGACACUGGAUUGCCCCCUUCAGUGAU
Molecule: long non-coding RNA, 1811 nt
Filed under: Podarcis muralis (Common wall lizard)
Lineage: Eukaryota; Metazoa; Chordata; Lepidosauria; Squamata; Lacertidae
Description: lncRNA (ENSPMRG00000000705.1)
Source: RNAcentral